RNAcentral lists this ribosomal RNA (492 nucleotides) under uncultured bacterium. RNAcentral's name for it is "partial 16S ribosomal RNA". It matches the Rfam family "Bacterial small subunit ribosomal RNA", at positions 29 to 507 of the family's 1533-position model. The record is from RNAcentral.
AGUGAACGCUGGCGGUAGGCCUAACACAUGCAAGUCGAACGGCAGCACAGUAAGAGCUUGCUCUUACGGGUGGCGAGUGGCGGACGGGGGGGGAAUACAUCGGAAUCUACUUUUUCGGGGGGGAUAACGUAGGGAAACUUACGCUAAUCCCGCAUACGACCUACGGUUGAAAGCAGGGGAUCUUCGGACCUUGCGGGAUUGAAUGAGCGGAUGUCGGAUUAGCUAGUUGGCGGGGUAAAGGCCCACCAAGGCGACGAUCCGUAGCUGGUCUGAGAGGAUGAUCAGCCACACUGGAACUGAGACACGGUCCAGACUCCUACGGGAGGCAGCAGUGGGGAAUAUUGGACAAUGGGCGCAAGCCUGAUCCAGCCAUACCGCGUGGGUGAAGAAGGCCUUCGGGUUGUAAAGCCCUUUUGUUGGGAAAGAAAAGCAGCAGGUUAAUACCCCGCUGUUCUGACGGUACCCAAAGAAUAAGCACCGGCUAACUUCGUG